Paramuricea clavata is the source of this 218-nucleotide non-coding RNA. The record is from the annotation of a GenBank genome assembly. Lineage: Eukaryota; Metazoa; Cnidaria; Anthozoa; Malacalcyonacea; Plexauridae.
GCCGGUUUUCCACUUCAAGCGUACCGUACCGAAACAUAUCAAAGACGUUUUUAAAUUUCAAAAUUUCGUGAAUGUUGAUUGGUUAGUAUUUCCGUAGUACGCCAAAAAGUUGACUUGCGACAAACUUUUCAUUUUGAUACGCGAAUACACCCGGAAGUACGUGGAUUUAUAAACCUCUUUUCAAUCUGCGCAUGCUCUCUAGUACGUUUCGGUAUGAU